UGCAUGAAUGAUGAAGUACAAGGGACAGAGA
RNAcentral lists this non-coding RNA (31 nucleotides) under Mus musculus (house mouse). The record is from RNAcentral. Lineage: Eukaryota; Metazoa; Chordata; Mammalia; Rodentia; Muridae.